This 253-nucleotide ribosomal RNA is filed under the name uncultured bacterium. RNAcentral's name for it is "partial 16S ribosomal RNA". It matches the Rfam family "Bacterial small subunit ribosomal RNA", at positions 524 to 776 of the family's 1533-position model. The record is from RNAcentral.
UACGGGGGGGGCAAGCGUUGUUCGGAAUUACUGGGCGUAAAGGGCUCGUAGGCGGCCAACUAAGUCAGACGUGAAAUCCCUCGGCUUAACCGGGGAACUGCGUCUGAUACUGGAUGGCUUGAGUUUGGGAGAGGGAUGCGGAAUUCCAGGUGUAGCGGUGAAAUGCGUAGAUAUCUGGAGGAACACCGAUGGCGAAGGCAGGUCUCUGGGCCACUACUGACGCUGAGAAGCGAAAGCAUGGGGAGCGAACAGG